RNAcentral lists this ribosomal RNA (208 nucleotides) under uncultured delta proteobacterium. RNAcentral describes it as "partial 16S ribosomal RNA". It matches the Rfam family "Bacterial small subunit ribosomal RNA", at positions 568 to 775 of the family's 1533-position model. The record is from RNAcentral. Lineage: Bacteria; Deltaproteobacteria.
CGUGCAGGCGGCUCGCUAAGUCUGAUGUGAAAGCCCCGGGCUCAACCCGGGAAGUGCAUUGGAAACUGGCGAACUUGAGUAUGGGAGAGGGAAGUGGAAUUCCGAGUGUAGGGGUGAAAUCCGUAGAUAUUCGGAGGAACACCAGUGGCGAAGGCGGCUUCCUGGACCAAUACUGACGCUGAGACGCGAAAGCGUGGGGAGCAAACAG